UGAGCCUAGGGAACUCAAACUGCUUCAGCCAGCAGGAUCAGGAGUCCAAGAAGUUAGCCCAGAAUAGCAGCAUCUGCAUCAACUGGGAAGUUGUUAGAAAAGCACAUUCUGGAGUUCUAUCCCCAAAGGACUGGCUCCAAUACUCCAGAAGUAGAUCAAACCAUUUGUAUUUUAAUUAACUCUCCGGGUGAUUCUGACAGUUACCAACACUUGAGAGCAACGGGUUUAAGGAGGGAGCAUGAUUCUUUGCUAAACUUGCAACACAUGGGCUGCACUCUUCAUUGAGCCUUUUCAAGGAGAAAGGGGUAUAAACUGAAAAUCACGUAAGUUCUAAAAGGCUGAAGAUGGGAUUUCAAAGAUAAUGGCAUAUCAAAAUUUUCUCUGUUGUGCUGAGCCAGGAUAUGUGUGUAUGUGCAAACUUCGUGUUUUAAAGACCAAUCAUUUGUGCUUGUGGAUCAUCUCUCCCUGAAUAAAUACGGCAAAACUCCAUGAAGCUGAAAUAUUGCUCGUUAUUUUUUUAUAAAAAGGUUAUACGUUUCAUAAGACAAAACUUCCAGUCAACAAAUUCUUAUUCCUAGGGCACUAUUACUCUGAUAAAAUUAGUAAAGCUUUAAUUAUAAAAUCCCAAAACUCACAGACAAGAUUUACUUAAAGUUUUUUUUUUUUCUAUACUGUUUUGUUUUUUAAAUAAACUUUUCAACCCAGAAUAGCUUUACAUCUACAGAAAAAUGUGAAGAUGGCACUGACGGUUCCCAUAUACACCACACCAAGCCUAUCAGAAUCCUAUCUUAGCAUGGCAUAUCUGUUACAAUUAAUGAAGCAAUAUUGAUACGUUGUUAUUAACUAAGGUCCGUACUUUGUUCAGAGUUUUCCAGUUUCCACCCCUGGCCUUUUUCUGUUUUAGGAUCCCUUUCAAGCUAUCUUAUUACAUAUAUUCCUCAGGUCUCCUUAGGCUCCUCUUGGCUGUGGUAAUUUCUCAGACUUUCUUUGAUUUUGAUGACCAUGGAAAUUUUGAAGGAUAGUAGUCAAGGGUUUCACAGACUAUCCCUCAAUUGGGAUACAUUUGAUGUUUUUAUCAUGAUUAGACUGGGGUGAUUUGAGGUAAGAAGACCACAGAGGUAAAGAGCCAUUCUUAUGGAAUCAGAGGGACAUGCUCUCCACAUGUACCAUAACCAUUGAUAUUAACCUUGGCCAUCUGGCCUAGGGAGUAUUCAGGUUUCUCCUGUGCAAAUGUAUUCCCUCUCCCUUUCAUACUGCACGCUUUCUAAGGGGUGGGGGGUGCUCCAUCUUCUUGAAGGCGAAGCAUUUGCAUAAAUCAUUUUGUAUUCUGUUGCACAAGAGAUUUUUCUCUUAUUUAUUUAUUGAUGCAAUAAUUUUUAUCGUAUGGAUUCAUUUUCUAAAAUUUAUUUGAAAAAAUAAAUAUAUAAUAUAAAUCAAC
This 1438-nucleotide long non-coding RNA is filed under the name Macaca mulatta (Rhesus monkey). RNAcentral describes it as "lncRNA (ENSMMUG00000060070.1)". Lineage: Eukaryota; Metazoa; Chordata; Mammalia; Primates; Cercopithecidae. The record is from RNAcentral.